Molecule: non-coding RNA, 565 nt
Organism: Xyrichtys novacula (pearly razorfish)
Lineage: Eukaryota; Metazoa; Chordata; Actinopteri; Labriformes; Labridae
Source: the annotation of a GenBank genome assembly
CGCCAGGUAACGCGUGCGAGCUCGUCCAGUCUCGCGGGAUAUAUCGCAAAUCUCACGAGCGCUUCUCACGAUGGCGGCGGCGGGUCGGAUCCCGUCGGCGCUGUAUGCUUGCAGAUCUGAUCCGCCUGCCGGUCCGGAGCGGAGUCGUUCUGGAUCCAGUGGGAUUCCCGGGUAAGUCUCUGGAUCCUCUGUUAACUUAAACAGCUGUUUGAGUUUAACAGCCAGAACAACAUCAACAAAUAUUCCCUGCCCAAAUCCACAGCGGUCUACAUGCUGUUGUUUGGACAAUAGCCAAUUUCAGUGAAAAGGUAACUUUUCAAGACAUCAAGACCCACCUACUCCUGCUCUGAUUGGCCAAUAAUCUUUACUUCCUGAAGACACAAGGGAUGGGAUUGGUCAAAUAUAGCAAGAGAAAGCGAGUCAGCCAAUCAGAGACAGUUGUGAAAAUUCGCGGGGUUUUCAGGACGGGUAUGUUUGUUUCUGAAUUAGGCAUACACCGGUUUGUUUUGGAUCCAUCCAGCAGCUCCUCAAGGGGGUUUUGUGAGACUUUGUCAACGGUUUCGAC